AAAUAGAUACCCCGGUAGUCCACGCCGUAAACGAUGAGUGCUAAGUGUUAGGGGGUUUCCGCCCCUUAGUGCUGCAGCUAACGCAUUAAGCACUCCGCCGUGGGGAGUACGGUCGCAAGACUGAAACUCAAAGGAAUUGACGGGGGCCCGCACAAGCGGUGGAGCAUGUGGUUUAAUUCGAAGCAACGCGAAGAACCUUACCAGGUCUUGACAUCCCAUUGACCACUAUGGAGACAUAGUUUUCCCUUCGGGGACAACGGUGACAGGUGGUGCAUGGUUGUCGUCAGCUCGUGUCGUGAGAUGUUGGGUUAAGUCCCGCAACGAGCGCAACCCUUGUUCUUAGUUGCCAUCAUUUAGUUGGGCACUCUAAGGAGACUGCCGGUGACAAACCGGAGGAAGGUGGGGAUGACGUCAAAUCAUCAUGCCCCUUAUGACCUGGGCUACACACGCGCUACAAUGGACGGUACAAACGGUUGCCAACCCGCGAGGGGGAGCUAAUCCGAUAAAACCGUUCUCAGUUCGGAUUGUAGGCUGCAACUCGCCUACAUGAAGGACC
This 556-nucleotide ribosomal RNA is filed under the name uncultured bacterium. RNAcentral describes it as "bacterial SSU rRNA". It matches the Rfam family "Bacterial small subunit ribosomal RNA", at positions 776 to 1333 of the family's 1533-position model. The record is from RNAcentral.